Molecule: transfer RNA, 80 nt
Filed under: Aspergillus terreus
Lineage: Eukaryota; Fungi; Ascomycota; Eurotiomycetes; Eurotiales; Aspergillaceae
Also listed under: 1 other name
Description: tRNA-Leu
Rfam family: tRNA
About the family: Transfer RNA (tRNA) molecules are approximately 80 nucleotides in length. Their secondary structure includes four short double-helical elements and three loops (D, anti-codon, and T loops). Further hydrogen bonds mediate the characteristic L-shaped molecular structure. tRNAs have two regions of fundamental functional importance: the anti-codon, which is responsible for specific mRNA codon recognition, and the 3' end, to which the tRNAs corresponding amino acid is attached (by aminoacyl-tRNA synthetases). tRNAs cope with the degeneracy of the genetic code in two manners: having more than one tRNA (with a specific anti-codon) for a particular amino acid; and 'wobble' base-pairing, i.e. permitting non-standard base-pairing at the 3rd anti-codon position.
Source: RNAcentral
GGCAAGGUGGCCGAGUGGUUAUGGCGCUGGUUUUAGGCACCAGUGGGUUUCCCACGCGGGUUCGAAUCCCGUCCUUGUCA